This 634-nucleotide ribosomal RNA is filed under the name uncultured bacterium. Its description in RNAcentral is "bacterial SSU rRNA". The stretch from base 1 to 541 matches the Rfam family "Bacterial small subunit ribosomal RNA", at positions 338 to 873 of the family's 1533-position model. The record is from RNAcentral.
CCUACGGGAGGCAGCAGUGGGGAAUUUUGGACAAUGGGCGCAAGCCUGAUCCAGCAAUGCCGCGUGCAGGAUGAAGGCCUUCGGGUUGCAAACUGCUUUUGUACGGAACGAAACGGCUCUUUCUAAUAAAGAGAGCUAAUGACGGUACCGUAAGAAUAAGCACCGGCUAACUACGUGCCAGCAGCCGCGGUAAUACGUAGGGUGCGAGCGUUAAUCGGAAUUACUGGGCGUAAAGCGUGCGCAGGCGGUUAUAUAAGACAGAUGUGAAAUCCCCGGGCUCAACCUGGGACCUGCAUUUGUGACUGUAUAGCUAGAGUACGGUAGAGGGGGAUGGAAUUCCGCGUGUAGCAGUGAAAUGCGUAGAUAUGCGGAGGAACACCGAUGGCGAAGGCAAUCCCCUGGACCUGUACUGACGCUCAUGCACGAAAGCGUGGGGAGCAAACAGGAUUAGAUACCCUGGUAGUCCACGCCCUAAACGAUGUCAACUGGUUGUUGGGUCUUCACUGACUCAGUACGAAGCUAACGCGUGAAGUUGACCGCCGNGGGUAAGGUACGGUCCGCGAGGUUAGUUAACGUUACGAAGGAAGUUAGACGGCGUUGAGACGUUGCCGACGGACGACGACGAGGGAGGAGG